AAUCCAGAGAUGGAUUUGUGCCUUCGGGAACUGUGAGACAGGUGCUGCAUGGCUGUCGUCAGCUCGUGUUGUGAAAUGUUGGGUUAAGUCCCGCAACGAGCGCAACCCUUAUCCUUUGUUGCCAGCGAUUAGGUCGGGAACUCAAAGGAGACUGCCAGUGAUAAACUGGAGGAAGGUGGGGAUGACGUCAAGUCAUCAUGGCCCUUACGACCAGGGCUACACACGUGCUACAAUGGCGCAUACAAAGAGAAGC
This 253-nucleotide ribosomal RNA is filed under the name Salmonella enterica subsp. enterica serovar Typhimurium. Its description in RNAcentral is "partial 16S ribosomal RNA". It matches the Rfam family "Bacterial small subunit ribosomal RNA", at positions 997 to 1250 of the family's 1533-position model. Lineage: Bacteria; Pseudomonadati; Pseudomonadota; Gammaproteobacteria; Enterobacterales; Enterobacteriaceae. The record is from RNAcentral.